This 450-nucleotide ribosomal RNA is filed under the name uncultured bacterium. RNAcentral describes it as "partial 16S ribosomal RNA". It matches the Rfam family "Bacterial small subunit ribosomal RNA", at positions 354 to 796 of the family's 1533-position model. The record is from RNAcentral.
GUGGGGAAUAUUGGACAAUGGGCGAAAGCCUGAUCCAGCCAUGCCGCGUGUGUGAAGAAGGUCUUCGGAUUGUAAAGCACUUUAAGUUGGGAGGAAGGGUAGUAACCUAAUACGUUGCUACUUUGACGUUACCGACAGAAUAAGCACCGGCUAACUUCGUGCCAGCAGCCACGGUAAUACGAAGGGUGCAAGCGUUAAUCGGAAUUACUGGGCGUAAAGCGCGCGUAGGUGGUUCAGUAAGUUGGAAGUGAAAUCCCCGGGCUCAACCUGGGAACUGCUUUCAAAACUGCUGAGCUAGAGUACGGUAGAGGGUGGUGGAAUUUCCUGUGUAGCGGUGAAAUGCGUAGAUAUAGGAAGGAACACCAGUGGCGAAGGCGACCACCUGGACUGAUACUGACACUGAGGUGCGAAAGCGUGGGGAGCAAACAGGAUUAGAUACCCCUGUAGUCC